UACGUAGGGAGCAAGCGUUGUUCGGAUUUACUGGGCGUAAAGGGCGCGUAGGCGGCGUGACAAGUCACUUGUGAAAUCUCCGGGCUUAACUCGGAACGGUCAAGUGAUACUGUCGUGCUAGAGUACAGAAGGGGCAACUGGAAUUCUCGGUGUAGCGGUGAAAUGCGUAGAUAUCGAGAGGAACACCUGCGGCGAAGGCGGGUUGCUGGGCUGAUACUGACGCUGAGGCGCGAAAGCCAGGGGAGCGAACGGG
Molecule: ribosomal RNA, 253 nt
Filed under: uncultured bacterium
Lineage: Bacteria
Description: partial 16S ribosomal RNA
Rfam family: Bacterial small subunit ribosomal RNA
Source: RNAcentral